AAGACCUUGCACUUUUGGAGCGGCCGAUGUCUGAUUAGCUAGUUGGUGGGGUAAUGGCCUACCAAAGCUUCGAUCAGUAGCUGGUCUGAGAGGACGGCCAGCCACACCGGGACUGAGACACGGCCCAGACUCCUACGGGAGGCAGCAGUGGGGAAUUUUGGACAAUGGGGGCAACCCUGAUCCAGCCAUGCCGCGUGAGUGAAGAAGGCCUUCGGGUUGUAAAGCUCUUUCGGCCGGAACGAAAUCGCAUCUCCUAAUACGAGGUGUGGAUGACGGUACCGGAAGAAGAAGCACCGGCUAACUACGUGCCAGCAGCCGCGGUAAUACGUAGGGUGCAAGCGUUAAUCGGAAUUACUGGGCGUAAAGCGUGCGCAGGCGGCUCUUCAAGUCAGAUGUGAAAGCCCCGGGCUUAACCUGGGAACU
Molecule: ribosomal RNA, 423 nt
Filed under: uncultured bacterium
Lineage: Bacteria
Description: bacterial SSU rRNA
Rfam family: Bacterial small subunit ribosomal RNA
Source: RNAcentral